UAUCAUUUCUGAGUUUAAUGUGCUGUCAAUGCAUUGUCAAAAUGUUAAGACACUUUUAGGAUGUCUUGCCAACUACUUUACAAGUAAUUUCGCAUUACAACGAAUUUCUGUUAGCAUCCAAACAUCGCGAUAAAAUCAUUGUUUUCCAUACUCAAGUGAAAAUUUUGGUCAACUUAGCAAAGACACUUAAUUCGUAUCCAAAAAAGUAAAAGCAUGUUCGAUUUACUUUGUCCUUUGAGCCACAUAUUUUCUUUGUAAAACAACUUGGUGUUACGCUUUCGAUUUCUCCGUCAGACUCGUAAAAAUUAUCAUUAGAGUUGUUUUACAAUAUUUAUUUUGAAGUAUAAACAUUUAUCUUGAAAAGACCAGGUUCUCUUGUUUCCUGAAGAAUUAACUUUUUUACUGUUAAUUUGCGGGCAAACACGUUUUUAAAGUUGUGUUUUCACUUGUGCUUAUUCACUUGUGUUGAACACAAUGUUAAUUGUUCUCUGUGUGCCAUGUUCAGUUUUCUUCUAUUGUUAUUUAAAUAAGUACAGUAAUGCAGUGGUUGUUCUCUUUUUAUUGUUAUUCAAAUUGUAAAAUUUACAAGUUCUUUUCAAUAAAUUGUUCAUUAAUUAUACAAGAGACUCCUUUUUAAUUAAAAAUUCAAUUCCCAUGGGAAUUGAAAAAAAAAAUAAAAAAAAGUCCCCUACCCCGGCCGGCUCCCCAAGUACUACCUCUACUUCAAGCAGAAGUACUUCUACUAUGUAGAUAGAAGUACUUCUACUUAAAGUAGAGGUAGCACUCGGAGAGCCAGCCGGGGUAGCGGGGCAAAGAGAAGACCAACCUUGCAAAUGCUAAUGCAAAUUGCUAAGUUGAUCUUCUCUUGAGAGCAGCCACGCGCAUACCUAGCAAAUGUAAAACAACAAGCAUUAGUAACAAAUACUCGGCAUGCAAAUUUUGAAUCCCAUGGCCAAAAUGACAAGUGCCCCCCACUGAUUCCUACCAACUGCCUACCUGCCUCAGUCCUAAGCUGUCUGCCUCGGUCCUAAGCUGUCUGCCUCGGUCCUAAGCUACCUGCAUUCCAUUCGUAACUUCCGCUUUCCUCACCAUCACACAGACACUCACAACUGCCCAACCUGCCACCAACCCGAAUUGCCCACCCUUAAAACUGAAGGAAUUAAAAUUUUGGUAAAGUAUACAUAAUUAAUUUAAUUAUUCGGAUAUUUUAGGCCAAACGCAAACAUAGAAAUUAAAGUUGACGAUUAAGAAAGACCGCGUAUACAAACAGGUGAGUUUCUCACUUGCCUCUACAUGAAAUAUAGAUAGAAAAAAAUACGACACCUCGAAAUCCGGAUUUUUCCUUCUAUAUGCUUUACAAGGAGAUUAUAAUU
Molecule: non-coding RNA, 1373 nt
Organism: Paramuricea clavata
Lineage: Eukaryota; Metazoa; Cnidaria; Anthozoa; Malacalcyonacea; Plexauridae
Source: the annotation of a GenBank genome assembly